UACAGAGGUCUCAAGCGUUGUUCGGAUUCAUUGGGCGUAAAGGGUGCGUAGGCGGCGCGGUAAGUCGGAUGUGAAAUCUCGGAGCUUAACUCCGAAGCUGCAUUCGAUACUGCCGUGCUCGAGGACUGGAGAGGAGACUGGAAUUUACGGUGUAGCGGUGAAAUGCGUAGAUAUCGUAAGGAAGACCAGUGGCGAAGGCGGGUCUCUGGACGGAUACUGACGCUGAGGCGCGAAAGCGUGGGGAUCAAACAGG
RNAcentral lists this ribosomal RNA (253 nucleotides) under uncultured bacterium. RNAcentral describes it as "partial 16S ribosomal RNA". It matches the Rfam family "Bacterial small subunit ribosomal RNA", at positions 524 to 776 of the family's 1533-position model. The record is from RNAcentral.